Long non-coding RNA from Magallana angulata, 5667 nucleotides. RefSeq lists it as uncharacterized. The record is from RefSeq and is a predicted model, not a curated record. Lineage: Eukaryota; Metazoa; Mollusca; Bivalvia; Ostreida; Ostreidae. The transcript is spliced from 3 exons.
UAUCUAGUUUCUUUAUCUUAUGCAUUCAUAUUUACUAACUAAUAUAUAUAUGUUUUCAGCAAUGUCGAUUCCCAGUAUGCACAAUAAAAGCCAAGAAGAUAGGCAUUUCUGAGUGGCAUUGGAGAUCGGUGAUUCCUGUUUGCAUCAAAGAAGUCGAGAGUGAAUAUGAUAUAACAGACUGGCUGGGUCUGGGCGGGCACUGUCAAACGAGCAAUGCUGAACAUGUUCCUGAAAAUAAGUAAAAUAAGGAGCAUAGGAUAUUUUAAUUUUGCAAAAUAUCUACUAGAACGAAUUAUACAAAAUAUUAACCUACCAAGGAUUCUUCAUUAUGGCGGAAGUAAACGUUUCCGUCUGUCAGCCUCUCUGGCUGGUAUGACUUCCCCUUUGUAUUCGCACAGGUAAUAAAGCUACAUAAGUGAAUGACGCCAUGGUUGAUCUUGAUUCAAAUAACACACUGCUUAUUAAAAGUCAUUAAAAAGCGGAGGUAUUGCCAAGUUUGCGAAUGACGAAUGGAUGAGGCCAAAUGCCAAGGUUUUGAAAGACAUUGAAAACGGAAGGCCGCAUCUCUUCCUCAAAACAACAAGGAAGAUAACAAGAGGCCCCUUGGACCACAUCGCUCACCUGAGCAACAAUGGGCGUUCAAAAGAUAUUGUGCCAUAUGGUCCCUCGGUAGAAUAACAAAAAAUAAAUAUUGUAAAGUAUUCGAACUUUACACUUACUUUUGCAUACACGUACGCAGGAAUACUCUCCUCAUAAAGAAACAUCAGUGGAUGAGGCUAUGGUAGCAUAUACUGGGCCUUUAUGAUUCAAACAGUACGUCCCUUUGAAGUCAACAAAACGAGGGAGAAAAGUCUGGAUGAGGGCAAAUCCGAACAAUGGGAACGUCAAUGAGUGCCAAGUGUACACAGGGAAAGAAAGCAACGUAGCAGAAAAAGAACUCGGAGAACGUGUUGUUAAAGACCUAAUAAGAAGUAUAUGGGGAAAGUAUCACCACAUCUAUUGCGACAAUUGCUUAACAUCAGUUGAUCUUUUCCAUGAGGUGUUGGACAACAAAACCUACGCAUGUUGCACAAUAGGAAAUGACUUCCCCAUGCAGUCUCCAAAUGUAAACGGAAAAUGCAAGUACAGAUGGCACAGCGACAAAAUGAUGCCAAGGUGGCAACAGCCUGGCACGACAAGUGAACGGUGACACUGCUCUCAACAAACUCCAAUCCACUAGAAAUGAGGUUCAGAGAAAGCAGAAGGAUGGGACUAUCAUCAAUGUAGCAUGCCCAAAAGUCCGGAAAUUGUACACACAGAAUAUGAAUGGGGUGGACAGAGCUGACCAGCUGAGAUCAACUUACAGCAUUGCCAGAAAAGCUGCUAAAUGGUGGAAGUAGCUCUUCUGGUGGUUCAUGGUGGAUAUGACCAUUUGCAAUACGUUCAUCCUGAUGAAGGAAUCUCCGAAUCACAUCCUUACAACAAAGUCAACAAGGUGGAGGGAAAGGAACCAGCAAGAAUUCCGAAAAAAAUAUUGCCCACCAGCUCAUCGGUGACAUCUGAGGUAAAGGGAAACGGAAUCCGUAGACGAGCACCAAACAAGAGGACUAUUGCAUUGGCCAGCAGAAAUGGACAAAAAGAGGACGACAUGCAAACAAUGUGCUAAAAACAGAAUUCGAAGAAAGAGAAUUGGUGGAUGUGAACAGCGUGGUGUUAACUUGUGGGUUUCUUGUUUCAAGCCUUAUCACAAGGAAAAACAUCCAGAAUUGUUUAAUUAAUUGGACACAUUAGACAAAGGCCACCGACAACAAUGUAAAUGUGUGAAAUAUCUUAAAUGUUUUAUGAUUUAUUUUCAAACUUUGGACUAAUUUUUUACUGGAUUACGAAUCAAUGUAUUAAAAAUCUAUGCUGAAAAUUGGGCGAGUUUUUAUCUAUAAUCAAUGAAGUUAUAGCUGUUUAUAUGCAGGAAUAGGGGUAUGAAUGAUGCGUGUAUAAUAUUGUUGUAGAAUAGGAACAAACUGUUUGGCUGAUUUAAACAUGUUGCGAUUCCUCGGGUUGUGGGUGAGAACAAAAGGAAUUUUGGUAUUGUUGCUUUCCUCACGUUGUUUGAUUGAUCUAAGUUCUGCAAUCGGUGUUUCUGUCGCCUCUCGUAUUGCUGAUUCGAUGAGCUGUAUAGGAUAUUUUUGUCUAGUAAGACAUGUUUUAAGUUCGGACAGUCAUGUUUUCCUCCGUUCUUCAUCUACAACGAUGAUACAGAUUCGCCGGGCCAUAUUAAAAGGGAUGUUUCGUUUUGUAUGAGAAGGAUGACAUGAAUCAAAAAUCAAAUAUUGGUGAGAAUCUGUCUUCUUGUAGAAAAGAUCCGUAGUAAUUUUCAUUCCCUCUUUUAUCACUAAAAUGUCCAAAUAGGGUAAUUCUUUUUCACUAAUUUUUAUUGUAAAUUGUAGGCUGUCAUGUAGAGAAUUAAGAAUUUUGUGGAAAUUUUGUAAGUCGUCCAGUGAUUUUGUCCAAUAAAUGAAACAAUCGUCUAAGUAGCGUUUCCAGUUGUUUUUUAUGUGUAGGGCAUAUUCUUCUCCAAAAGAUGUUUUGCACUCUGACGCAAGUUUUUCUUCGAGGUAACCAAAAACCAAAUUGGCGUAAGUGGCGGCAACCUUUGUUCCCAUGGCUGUUCCUUUUGUCUGUAGAAAAUAUUUGUCAUCAAAGAAAAAAUGAUUAUUUUCCAGUACGAGUGCAAUUCCCUCAAAGAUAAAUUCUUUCGAAAAUCUUGAUUGUAGAAUGCUUUCAUUUUUGUUCAUCCAGUAGUCAAUGGCCUCAAUGCCCAGGUUGUGAGGUAUGUUUGUACAUAAACUAGUUACAUCGAAACUCACUAGAUGUGUAUUAUCUUUGACGGUAUUUGGUAUAUGAUUUUAAAAAGUCCAUGUCAUCCCGAAUAUAGCUCGGUAUUAAUUUACAGAGCGGUUUAAGUAUAAUGUCUAGGAAAUUGCUAAGUCUUUGUGUUGGACAGGAAGAACCAGCCACGAUUGGACGAAGUUUCAAGUCUGUUGGACGCGGUAGUUUAAUAUAAGGUUCACAUAAGUUGUGUAUUCCAGUUUGAAUUUGUUUCGACUUGUGGAUUUUUGGUAAACCGUAAAAGUUACUGGUUUUCACCUCGAAGUUGAGUAGAAAAUCUUCUUCUUUGUCUGUUAGAUUUUUAGUAAACUUUGUAACAUAUUUCUUAAUUCUAGACAUGGUUUUGCUGUCUUGGUUUGAUGGUAGUUCUUGGUAAAAAUGUAUAUCAUUUAAUUGUUCUAGUACCAUUUCUUUGUAGUGGUCUUUAUCCAUGAUGACGAUUGCUCCGCCUUUGUCAGCUUCCUUUAUAAUAAUGGUAUUAUCACUUCUAAUAUUUUCUAAUGCUUUUCUUUCUAAUAUUGUGAUGUUAUCUCGUACACGGAUAUCCGUCUGGUUUAUUUGAGCAGCGGUUUUAAAGCAAUUGAUAUAAUCUUCUAAUUGUUUGUCUCUGUUUGAGUUCGGUUUAAAAUUACUUUUAUUUCUCACCAAUGAUUCAUCGCUAUUUUCCGAGUUUUGAAAAAACUCUCUAAGUCUGAGUUUCCUACAAAAUUCUUCGGUAUCUUUGAUAACAUCCACGUCGUUCUUUUUAGGAGUUGGAGUAAAUUUAAGACCCCUUUUAAGUAGCUAUAUCUCAUGUGUAGAGAAAUUUCUCUGAGAAAUAUUAAUUAUUUUGGGGUCUAUAUGUGCCAUUUUUUCUAGAUAUGUUUGAAGCGAAACGUAUUCAUGCGAUGUUUGUGAAACUGGCCUCUCCACAAAAAAGGAUCACUUCGUUGUUGGUUUUGGUUUGUUUUUGAUUCCAAUCGUUGAUGGUAUUUUGCUAAGGUUGGUCGAAGUGAUCUGAUUUUCUCCUAUUAUCCUCUCUUCUGUUGUUUUGCGUUUCAAAUUCGUUCUUUCCCUGUAUGUCGUUGUUUUCACUGUAAUUGUUGUGUCUGAUUUCUUUGUUUCGCCAUUGUUUUUGUCGAGGCAAAGGUAUUUCGCGUCUUGAAUGAGAGUUCUGAUUGUUGUUUUCAUUUUGUUGAAGAGAAUUGAUGUCAGGUUUCUGACAAUGGUGAUUAUUUAUCCCGCGUUUACGACGUUCAGGACUUUUCAUAAUUGCAUUUCCAUAAUUGUUUGCAUGAUCUUCUAGCCAUUUUUGUUUUGAACGAAGAAAAUCAUCUGAUUUGAUUUUUUCUUGAUUUGUUUCUUUUUCCCACAGUCCACGGAGUUUGAUUUGCAUGUCGUUGCUUGAUAUGUUUGCGAUCUCGUCAUGCAUUACUUGAUCAUGAUUCUCGUAUUUCGCCCUGUACUUGGGUACUCUGAGGCGUAACAGUGAAAUUUCGGCGUCAAAUUUUUGAAUAGCAAGGUUUCUUCUAAUUGUUGUCUCCUCCUCCGGUUCGUUGUUGAUAGGUUUUGCCCUGAAUUUACGGGGUAAAAUUACCCCCUUGUUUUGCCUCCAUUUUUCAUAAACAUCUGCUGAAUUUUCACAGCGAAUUGCAUUCCAGUAUGCUUGUUUUCUCUCAUUUAACAUUUUUUUCCAAAUUGUUAUCUCUUUCUUUUUAUCAUGUACAGAAUUUUGAAAGAUUGUUCAUUGUUUUCUUUAUAUUGUUUUCUGUUAUAUAUUUUCCCUUUUUAUAAAGUGAAAGAAAACAAUGAACAAUUGCGUAAUGCUAAAGAAAAUCAUUUUGUUAAACUGUUUAAACCUAAGUUAAAUUCUUAAUAUUUUGUAUUUUUAACAUCUGCAUAUAUAUACAUGUGAAUAAUUAUGUACAAGAGACACUGGACUUUUAUCAUUAUAAUUGUGUUGACUCUUUUUAUGCAUUGUAUAUUGUUUUGACGUCACAAUGUUUUGACGUCACUAUGUGUUGACGUCAUAAUCACGUCUUCAACAGUUUGUUUGUAUAACGUUGCCUACCUAACGUCACGAGAUUGACGUCAUAAUGUUCUUGUUUACUUUGUUUUAAGAAAUGAAGAUAAUAAUUUUUCUAUUGAUCGACGUAUCAAAGAGAAAAUUGACCGGAAAACUUCAUCAAUGCGCGUAAAUUGAAAAUAUAAUAUUAUGUAAAUUUUAUUGUGUAAGGAACAUGGGCAAACAUAUUGCUGAAAAUAGAAAGAAGUAUAGGCAAAAUAAUCGUGAAGAAAAACGACGUAAGAAGCAGAAGCUGAAAAAGGAAAAGGAAAUGACAUAUCACUAUUGUUGCAAUGCUUCAUCCUGUCCGUACAAGUCAUCUUAAUCAUCUUCAGGAUCUUCCUUGUCACCAUCAUUGACAUCUUCAAAUUCAUCAGACUCGUCAUCGAUAGUGACAAAAUCAAAGGCAACAGAAAACAGACCCCUGAUUACGUUUACGUCAGAGUACAUCAUGUUAAAGAAAAGAGUAGCUGCUAUUGAGGACAGAGAAAGUCGCUAACGGGGUGAUCCUCAUACCAGCUUGCCGUGGAAAGGUGUUAAUCCUCAAACCUGGCAGAUUUGGAGAGAUGACCAAUAGUGUUUACUAUUUCUUUAUAGAUCACUACAUCAAAUACAAAUUACCAAGUCAUGAAAUUCCUAAUCCGUGUGUGGGUGGGGGGAAUUAAGAUGCCUAUUACUCCAACUUCUCAAUCUUUCAAUGUAAAUUUAGGAGCAAUUACAUUUUCGGCGAGAAAAAGUGGGGGGCUAAACCCUCUAAG